Molecule: long non-coding RNA, 694 nt
Organism: Magallana angulata
Lineage: Eukaryota; Metazoa; Mollusca; Bivalvia; Ostreida; Ostreidae
Exons: 5
Source: RefSeq, a predicted model, not a curated record
GAAGAAAAGCCUUGCUACUGUGCGUGUUUAUUGGUUUAACUUUGCAUAAAUAAAGUUGUUUCAUUAACAGAAGCCACGUGUCUUCUUAAAAUUAAUUCGAUAACGAAUCCGGAAUUAAUACGAAAUCGGUUUUAGUUUUGUCGAUGACAAAAUAUACGUCACAUUUUUACGUCACGGAGGCAGAAGAUCGAACUGCAGGAUGGAUUUAGCAGAGGCAUGCAUUGGCUGCUUGACAUAUCCCUGGAAGAGGACACCAACUAGCUAACACAGUCAAUGACAGAUGUCUCUUUGAAUUGAUAAAAUCAUAAUCAAAUGGAUAUAAUACUGAAGUUUCAAAGAUCUGUUUUGAUGUAGCCUGAAGAUUUUGUAAUGAAUGAUCCAGGAUCCAAAAGUUCUUCGCAGGAGUUCAAAGACAGUUGCAAUGUGGUUGCUAAUUUAGUGACAGAUUAAGAAAGAAGUUCAAACAAGCAUUGUCAUGGGAAAACAUGAAAAAAUAAGAAGUUGGAGGUGGACAAAAAUCAGGAUGAAUAUACUAGAGAAACUAUUAAAGCACAGAAGAAUGACAACAAUAUAAAUCUAAAUGUAAUCAUUCAAGGAAUUAAAUUCAUUUUUAAUCUCGAAACUGUCUUUUUUCUGUAACUCUAGCUUUAGAUUAACAAGAAGCUGGAAAUACAAAAUGAAUGUUUCCAAAGAU